AUAAGUGAAUAGUGAAAUCUGGUGGCUCAACCAUACAGGCUAUUGUUCAAACUGUACAACUUGAGAGUGGUAGAGGACACUGGAAUUUCUUGUGUAGGAGUGAAAUCCGUAGAUAUAAGAAGGAACACCAAUGGCGUAGGCAGGUUACUGGACCAUUUCUGACGCUAAGGCACGAAAGCGUGGGGAGCGAACUGGAUUAGAUACCCAGGUAGUCCACGCCGUAAACGAUGGAUACUA
Molecule: ribosomal RNA, 237 nt
Filed under: uncultured Candidatus Saccharibacteria bacterium
Lineage: Bacteria; Candidatus Saccharimonadota
Description: partial 16S ribosomal RNA
Rfam family: Bacterial small subunit ribosomal RNA
Source: RNAcentral